AUUUUGCACGAUAAGUAUACAAUUUCAUAAGUGAACUCGUGAUUUUAACAACCUUGGUUAUAACUUUCAAAUAAUCAUCUCGAUCCAAAAACUUAAGCUAUUAGGUGAGGUUCAAAGAUAUGAUUUAUAUAAUUCUCUAACACUAGCUAGCUAACUCGUUUAUAUUUCUCUCCGUAAAAAUGGAAUGCGGCACCGAGACGUCCAACUCUAAUUCUAACACAGCUAUUCAUGUUGAAUGACACGUGUGCAUUACACCCUUGCACAAACAGGCGUACAAAGACAUGCUGGAAGAGAUACUGUGCAAGCAAGCAGCACAUGUUUGUACCAAGACAAAAAUGCAGUCAGAUAACAGUCCUAUGACAUUCAUAUUUACUUCAAAUGUAUAAUUUAUUGUUCCAUUUCUUCAUGAUAUUAGUUAUUAACUGCCCUCGUUCGAGUUUUACUUCUGAUUUAUCUGAUACCCUUCCCGAGGAGAAGGGCGUGAGAAAAGCACAGUAGCUCGACCCAGCCUUUUAAGAGGUGAUAAUUUAGAGACAACAAAGGCCUAAACAAGAUUAUCUCACACAUAAUAUUAUCCUAGACAUUCGUUGGAAGUGAAACAAAUGAUUGGACGAGAUAUAUAGUUCUCCGAUGUCUGUUCAGAAGCAUUCCAGGUUUCAUUUCUGAGUUCUUUACUGGGUAGCAUGCCAUCAUGCAACAUACCGCAAGAGGCAGAGCAAACUUUUUUAGAUGACAAU
Molecule: long non-coding RNA, 737 nt
Organism: Populus euphratica (Euphrates poplar)
Lineage: Eukaryota; Viridiplantae; Streptophyta; Magnoliopsida; Malpighiales; Salicaceae
Exons: 2
Source: RefSeq, a predicted model, not a curated record